UUGAACGCUGGCGGCAUGCCUUACACAUGCAAGUCGAACGGUAACAGGUUAAGCUGCCGCGUGGCGAACGGGUGAGUAAUGUAUCGGAACGUGCCCAGUCGUGGGGUAUAACUGCUCGAAAGAGCAGCUAAUACCGCAUACGACCUGAGGGUGAAAGCGGGGGAUCGCAAGACCUCGCGCGAUUGGAGCGUCCGAUAUCAGAUUAGGUAGUUGGUGAGGUAAAGGCUCACCAAGCCGACGAUCUGUAGCUGGUCUGAGAGGACGACCAGCCACACUGGGACUGAGACACGGCCCAGACUCCUACGGGAGGCAGCAGUGGGGAAUUUUGGACAAUGGGCGCAAGCCUGAUCCAGCCAUGCCGCGUGCGGGAAGAAGGCCUUCGGGUUGUAAACCGCUUUUGUCAGGGAAGAAAAGGUUCUGGCUAAUACCUGGGACUCAUGACGGUACCUGAAGAAUAAGCACCGGCUAACUACGUG
RNAcentral lists this ribosomal RNA (476 nucleotides) under uncultured bacterium. RNAcentral describes it as "partial 16S ribosomal RNA". It matches the Rfam family "Bacterial small subunit ribosomal RNA", at positions 30 to 507 of the family's 1533-position model. The record is from RNAcentral.